AAUUUUCAACCAUCGGUCCCUCCGACGCUUACUCCGAACAACCAUAUGCAACGUCGACGGGAGGAGGUGUUCCAGAAGACGAUGCCACGACUACUGAUGUCGAUCAACAGCAAACAGGCUCAUUGCGGACUUCAAAAAACCCAACUGAAGAGCACACGGCGACACUGCUAGUGACUUCGCAUGGAGGAGAAGCAUAUUCUAAUUGGUGGGGGAUCUUCCUUGGUAGCGUGGGAUCGGGAAUAAUUUUCUGGUUGUUGGUAGCCAGUGUUGGAUUCAUCUUCACGAAGGUGCUUAAAGAAAGUCGCAAGUGGGAUCAGCCGCGGUUCAAGAAUGAUGCUACAUUAGAAAAUGCGAACCCCGAGACUAGCAUUAUCUACAAUCCAACGUACAAUCCAACGGCUAUCACUCAUGUGGACAAUACGUAUCCAGUCA
Molecule: long non-coding RNA, 432 nt
Filed under: Lytechinus variegatus (green sea urchin)
Lineage: Eukaryota; Metazoa; Echinodermata; Echinoidea; Temnopleuroida; Toxopneustidae
Description: uncharacterized LOC121428145
Source: RNAcentral